AGCGUCCUUAUCGAGGUUGAGUAUAUUGUCCAAGGAACGAAAAGUGAGGGCAAUGUGCUAACACCCUGAUUACAACUAUUCGAGUCGCUUGUCAACACAAGCGGGUCAAUUUUUGGAAAC
Sycon ciliatum is the source of this 120-nucleotide small nuclear RNA. RefSeq annotates it as U4atac minor spliceosomal RNA. The transcript has a single exon. Lineage: Eukaryota; Metazoa; Porifera; Calcarea; Leucosolenida; Sycettidae. The record is from RefSeq and is a predicted model, not a curated record.